Long non-coding RNA from Momordica charantia (bitter melon), 1024 nucleotides. RefSeq lists it as uncharacterized. Lineage: Eukaryota; Viridiplantae; Streptophyta; Magnoliopsida; Cucurbitales; Cucurbitaceae. The record is from RefSeq and is a predicted model, not a curated record.
UCUUCUCUUAUCUUCUUUUCCAACCCCCCAAUCGUCGCCCCCUAUUAUUGAUAGCUCCUCUGAAACCCAAACAUAGCAGCGGCGGUGCUAGUCCACUCCGACCGGCACGACGACACAUCCGACGAGUACUUUCGGUGUGUUUUGAACCCGUAACAGCAGCGACCCAAGAGCAGAUUUCCUCUCAAGAACGACGAUGUUCUCUCGCUGGUCGUUGGAUUAUGGCAGCAUGUGGCAAACUACAGUAGCGACGACGAUUCUAGUGUGCGGCGGUACGAUUCUCGACAACUGCAGUGUCCUGACGAUUUUUGCUUUUAGAUCCGGUGACCAAGCCUUUGAUUCGCACAACCCACAGUGGCCCGAGCAUAGAACCAACGGCGAUUCUACACCAAGCGCGGCGGUCCGACGCAUCUAUAGUGUUUGGCGGCAAUGCACGACCCAUAGCAACCAGGAUUUGGCGGCCCGUGUCAUGUUUCCAACAUCUAGUAGUGUCAGUAGUGGAUUCGGCGCAUUCUCCACCAAUGCAAAACACGGACAACAGCAUUUUUGUGGCGUUUUCUUCAUUCUGGCGAUAUUCGACGCUUACCCAAACCCAUUCAAAGCUUGAUUUGAGUUACCCACCCCUUCGGCAUUUAUUCGGCGUCGACCCACUCCUAUUUGGACCCAGAUUGGCGUUACACAUUGCUUUUCAACGUCAGACCAGCAAGCCUAAAGCCUCUCAAACUCGAAUUUGGAAGCUCAAACUUCCACGACGUUGACCCAUUCCUAAUCCAAGAGGUUUUAGUGAACCCUUCGACAAAGCUUAGUAGUCCUUUAGGACCCUUGUUGUUUUGUAGGUAAUGGGGUCACACACGGGAAUGGUGAUGGCGAGAAGGAGACGUGACCGAAAAAGACCAUUAGUUGCAUAGCUUAGUUUUGUUUUUAGAUAGGAUAGUGCUGUUAAGUUUCUUAUUUAAAGGAUGUCAGAUCGUUACACUUUGAGAAUAUUAGUUUUGUUUAGCUAAUUGAACUAUGGGGUUGAAAUCUA